CGCACAUUGCGCCCUCUGGUAUUCCGGAGGGCAUGCCUGUUCGAGCGUCAUUUCAACCCUCAAGCUCUGCUUGGUAUUGGGCAACGUCCGCUGCCGGACGUGCCUUGAAGACCUCGGCGACGGCGUCCUAGCCUCGAGCGUAGUAGUAAAAUAUCUCGCUUUGGAGUGCUGGGCGACGGCCGCCGGACAAUCGACCUUCGGUCUAUUUUUCCAAGGUUGACCUCGGAUCAGGUAGGGAUACCCGCUGAACUUAA
Molecule: unclassified non-coding RNA, 254 nt
Filed under: Phyllosticta capitalensis
Lineage: Eukaryota; Fungi; Ascomycota; Dothideomycetes; Botryosphaeriales; Phyllostictaceae
Description: partial contains 5.8S ribosomal RNA, internal transcribed spacer 2, and large subunit ribosomal RNA
Source: RNAcentral